UUAAAUUGAAGAGUUUGAUCAUGGCUCAGAUUGAACGCUGGCGGCAGGCCUAACACAUGCAAGUCGAACGGUAACAGGAAGCAGCUUGCUGCUUCGCUGACGAGUGGCGGACGGGUGAGUAAUGUCUGGGAAGCUGCCUGAUGGAGGGGGAUAACUACUGGAAACGGUGGCUAAUACCGCAUAACGUCGCAAGACCAAAGAGGGGGACCUUCGGGCCUCUUGCCAUCAGAUGUGCCCAGAUGGGAUUAGCUAGUUGGUGAGGUAACGGCUCACCAAGGCGACGAUCCCUAGCUGGUCUGAGAGGAUGACCAGCCACACUGGAACUGAGACACGGUCCAGACUCCUACGGGAGGCAGCAGUGGGGAAUAUUGCACAAUGGGCGCAAGCCUGAUGCAGCCAUGCCGCGUGUAUGAAGAAGGCCUUAGGGUUGUAAAGUACUUUCAGCGGGGAGGAAGGUGUUGUGGUUAAUAACCGCAGCAAUUGACGUUACCCGCAGAAGAAGCACCGGCUAACUCCGUGCCAGCAGCCGCGGUAAUACGGAGGGUGCAAGCGUUAAUCGGAAUUACUGGGCGUAAAGCGCACGCAGGCGGUCUGUCAAGUCGGAUGUGAAAUCCCCGGGCUCAACCUGGGAACUGCAUUCGAAACUGGCAGGCUUGAGUCUUGUAGAGGGGGGUAGAAUUCCAGGUGUAGCGGUGAAAUGCGUAGAGAUCUGGAGGAAUACCGGUGGCGAAGGCGGCCCCCUGGACAAAGACUGACGCUCAGGUGCGAAAGCGUGGGGAGCAAACAGGAUUAGAUACCCUGGUAGUCCACGCCGUAAACGAUGUCUACUUGGAGGUUGUGCCCUUGAGGCGUGGCUUCCGGAGCUAACGCGUUAAGUAGACCGCCUGGGGAGUACGGCCGCAAGGUUAAAACUCAAAUGAAUUGACGGGGGCCCGCACAAGCGGUGGAGCAUGUGGUUUAAUUCGAUGCAACGCGAAGAACCUUACCUGGUCUUGACAUCCACAGAAGAAUCCAGAGAUGGAUUUGUGCCUUCGGGAACUGUGAGACAGGUGCUGCAUGGCUGUCGUCAGCUCGUGUUGUGAAAUGUUGGGUUAAGUCCCGCAACGAGCGCAACCCUUAUCCUUUGUUGCCAGCGGUCCGGCCGGGAACUCAAAGGAGACUGCCAGUGAUAAACUGGAGGAAGGUGGGGAUGACGUCAAGUCAUCAUGGCCCUUACGACCAGGGCUACACACGUGCUACAAUGGCGCAUACAAAGAGAAGCGACCUCGCGAGAGCAAGCGGACCUCAUAAAGUGCGUCGUAGUCCGGAUUGGAGUCUGCAACUCGACUCCAUGAAGUCGGAAUCGCUAGUAAUCGUGGAUCAGAAUGCCACGGUGAAUACGUUCCCGGGCCUUGUACACACCGCCCGUCACACCAUGGGAGUGGGUUGCAAAAGAAGUAGGUAGCUUAACCUUCGGGAGGGCGCUUACCACUUUGUGAUUCAUGACUGGGGUGAAGUCGUAACAAGGUAACCGUAGGGGAACCUGCGGUUGGAUCACCUCCUUACCUUAAAGAA
This 1554-nucleotide ribosomal RNA is filed under the name Salmonella enterica subsp. enterica serovar Thompson str. ATCC 8391. RNAcentral's name for it is "bacterial SSU rRNA". It matches the Rfam family "Bacterial small subunit ribosomal RNA". The record is from RNAcentral. Lineage: Bacteria; Pseudomonadati; Pseudomonadota; Gammaproteobacteria; Enterobacterales; Enterobacteriaceae.